UGUAGUGGAUUUUUUCUUGUCUUCUGGCAUGGCUUUGGGUUCGGUUGUCUCGAACUCUUUUCACUUUAUUAUCAUUUUUUUGGCUGCUAGCUUCUUGAUGGAGGUCCAACCAUCUAUCAACUUGUUCCAUUCAUUCUGUACCUUCAAGAGGCACCCAUUUGAGGAUUAGUGGCAUGUUUUCCCUCGAAAGGGGGUUCGUGCCCUAAUUCAAGGU
RNAcentral lists this long non-coding RNA (214 nucleotides) under Elaeis guineensis (African oil palm). RNAcentral describes it as "long non-coding RNA (EGUI_LNC040870)". Lineage: Eukaryota; Viridiplantae; Streptophyta; Magnoliopsida; Arecales; Arecaceae. The record is from RNAcentral.